GAAGAGUAACAUACCUGAAAUACCAAAUUUCAUGAAAGGGAUUCAACCCUUAUGCCCUUGGAUGACCUAAUUCUUAGAAACCCUAAGUAUGAUUAACAACAACAACAACAAACCCAGUGUAUUCCCACCUAGUGGGGUCUGGGGGGGUAAGAUGUACGCAGUCCAUACCUCUACCUCUAAAGAAGUAGAAAGGCUGUUU
This 199-nucleotide long non-coding RNA is filed under the name Capsicum annuum. Its description in RNAcentral is "long non-coding RNA (CANN_LNC010346)". The record is from RNAcentral. Lineage: Eukaryota; Viridiplantae; Streptophyta; Magnoliopsida; Solanales; Solanaceae.